GGGCCCGUAGCCUAGCCAGGAUAGGGCGCCGGCCUCCGGAGCCGGUGGUCCGGGGUUCAAAUCCCCGCGGGCCCG
RNAcentral lists this transfer RNA (75 nucleotides) under Fervidicoccus fontis. Its description in RNAcentral is "tRNA-Arg". It matches the Rfam family "tRNA". From Rfam's summary of the family: Transfer RNA (tRNA) molecules are approximately 80 nucleotides in length. The record is from RNAcentral. Lineage: Archaea; Thermoproteati; Thermoproteota; Thermoprotei; Fervidicoccales; Fervidicoccaceae.